UUGAUAGGGAUUUCCUCGUUC
This is a non-coding RNA of Caenorhabditis elegans, 21 nucleotides long. Lineage: Eukaryota; Metazoa; Nematoda; Chromadorea; Rhabditida; Rhabditidae. The record is from Ensembl.